RNAcentral lists this ribosomal RNA (781 nucleotides) under uncultured bacterium. Its description in RNAcentral is "bacterial SSU rRNA". It matches the Rfam family "Bacterial small subunit ribosomal RNA", at positions 1 to 827 of the family's 1533-position model. The record is from RNAcentral.
UCGAUUAGAGUUUGAUUAUGGCUCAGAGCGAACGCUGGCGGCAGGCUUAACACAUGCAAGUCGAGCGGGCGUAGCAAUACGUCAGCGGCAGACGGGUGAGUAACGCGUGGGAACAUACCUUUUGGUUCGGAACAACACAGGGAAACUUGUGCUAAUACCGGAUAAGCCCUUACGGGGAAAGAUUUAUCGCCGAAAGAUUGGCCCGCGUCUGAUUAGCUAGUUGGUGAGGUAAUGGCUCACCAAGGCGACGAUCAGUAGCUGGUCUGAGAGGAUGAUCAGCCACAUUGGGACUGAGACACGGCCCAAACUCCUACGGGAGGCAGCAGUGGGGAAUAUUGGACAAUGGGCGCAAGCCUGAUCCAGCCAUGCCGCGUGGGUGAUGAAGGCCCUAGGGUUGUAAAGCCCUUUCGGCGGGGAAGAUAAUGACGGUACCCGCAGAAGAAGCCCCGGCUAACUUCGUGCCAGCAGCCGCGGUAAUACGAAGGGGGCUAGCGUUGCUCGGAAUCACUGGGCGUAAAGCGCACGUAGGCGGAUUGCUAAGUCAGGGGUGAAAUCCUGGAGCUCAACUCCAGAACUGCCCUUGAUACUGGCGACCUCGAGUCCGGGAGAGGUGAGUGGAACUGCGAGUGUAGAGGUGAAAUUCGUAGAUAUUCGCAAGAACACCAGUGGCGAAGGCGGCUCACUGGCCCGGUACUGACGCUGAGGUGCGAAAGCGUGGGGAGCAAACAGGAUUAGAUACCCUGGUAGUCCACGCCGUAAACGAUGGAUGCUAGCCGUUGGA